GGGGAUGUGGUUUAGUGGUGAAGCACUUGCUUAGCAUGCAUGAGGCCCUGGAUUCAAACUCCAGCAUCACAC
This 72-nucleotide transfer RNA is filed under the name Urocitellus parryii (Arctic ground squirrel). RNAcentral's name for it is "Spermophilus parryii (Arctic ground squirrel) tRNA". It matches the Rfam family "tRNA". Rfam says of the family: Transfer RNA (tRNA) molecules are approximately 80 nucleotides in length. Their secondary structure includes four short double-helical elements and three loops (D, anti-codon, and T loops). Further hydrogen bonds mediate the characteristic L-shaped molecular structure. tRNAs have two regions of fundamental functional importance: the anti-codon, which is responsible for specific mRNA codon recognition, and the 3' end, to which the tRNAs corresponding amino acid is attached (by aminoacyl-tRNA synthetases). tRNAs cope with the degeneracy of the genetic code in two manners: having more than one tRNA (with a specific anti-codon) for a particular amino acid; and 'wobble' base-pairing, i.e. permitting non-standard base-pairing at the 3rd anti-codon position. RNAcentral also lists the same sequence under 1 other name. Lineage: Eukaryota; Metazoa; Chordata; Mammalia; Rodentia; Sciuridae. The record is from Rfam by way of RNAcentral.